Molecule: ribosomal RNA, 404 nt
Filed under: uncultured Eubacteriales bacterium
Lineage: Bacteria; Bacillati; Bacillota; Clostridia; Eubacteriales
Description: bacterial SSU rRNA
Rfam family: Bacterial small subunit ribosomal RNA
Source: RNAcentral
AAGCCUGAUCCAGCAAUGCCGCGUGCAGGAUGAAGGCCUUCGGGUUGUAAACUGCUUUUGUACGGAACGAAAAGCCUCUCUCUAAUACAGGGACGAUAAUGACGGUACCGUACAAGGAAGCCACGGCUAACUACGUGCCAGCAGCCGCGGUAAUACGUAGGUGGCAAGCGUUGUCCGGAAUUACUGGGUGUAAAGGAUGCGUAGGCGGAUAUGUAAGUCAGAUGUGAAACCCCCGGGCUUAACCCGGGGCAUGCAUUUGAGACUGCAUAUCUAGAGUGCAGGAGAGGAAAGCGGAAUUCCUAGUGUAGCGGUGAAAUGCGUAGAUAUUAGGAAGAACACCAGUGGCGAAGGCGGCUUUCUGGACUGUAACUGACGCUGAUGCAUGAAAGCGUGGGGAGCAAACA